This 478-nucleotide ribosomal RNA is filed under the name uncultured bacterium. Its description in RNAcentral is "partial 16S ribosomal RNA". It matches the Rfam family "Bacterial small subunit ribosomal RNA", at positions 28 to 523 of the family's 1533-position model. The record is from RNAcentral.
GACGAACGCUGGCGGCGUGCUUAACACAUGCAAGUCGAACGGUAAGGCCCUUCGGGGUACACGGGUGGCGAACGGGUGAGUAACACGUGGGUGAUCUGCCCUGCACUUCGGGAUAAGCCUGGGACACUGGGUCUAAUACCGGAUAGGACUCCGGACUGCAUGGUCUGGGGUGGAAAGCUUUUGCGGUGUGGGAGGGGCCCGCGGCCUAUCAGCUUGUUGGUGGGGUGAUGGCCUACCGAGGCGACGACGGGGAGCCGGCCUGAGAGGGUGACCGGCGACGCUGGGACUGGGAUACGGCCCAGACUCCUCCGGGAGGCAGCAGUGGGGAAUAUUGCACAAUGGGCGCAAGCCUGAUGCAGCGACGCCGCGUGAGGGAUGACGGCCUUCGGGUUGUAAACCUCUUUCAGCAUCGACGAAGCGAAAGUGACGGUAGGUGCAGAAGAAGGACCGGCCAACUACGUGCCAGCCGCCGCCGUAA